CCUCCUGGGAAGUCCUCGUGCUGCACCCCU
RNAcentral lists this ribosomal RNA (30 nucleotides) under Chenopodium berlandieri var. macrocalycium. Lineage: Eukaryota; Viridiplantae; Streptophyta; Magnoliopsida; Caryophyllales; Amaranthaceae. The record is from RNAcentral.